RNAcentral lists this ribosomal RNA (392 nucleotides) under uncultured bacterium. RNAcentral describes it as "partial 16S ribosomal RNA". It matches the Rfam family "Bacterial small subunit ribosomal RNA", at positions 523 to 918 of the family's 1533-position model. The record is from RNAcentral.
AUACGUAGGGGGCGAGCGCUGUCCGGAUUUACUGGGCGUAAAGGGUGAGUAGGCGGUUAUAUAUGUCAGGUGUAAAAAGCUAUGGCUUAACCAUAGUAAGCACUUGAAACUGUAUGACUUGAGUGCAGGAGAGGUAAGCGGAAUUCCUAGUGUAGCGGUGAAAUGCGUAGAUAUUAGGAGGAACACCGGUGGCGAAGGCGGCUUACUGGACUGUAACUGACGCUGAGUCACGAAAGCGUGGGUAGCAAACAGGAUUAGAUACCCUGGUAGUCCACGCCGUAAACGAUGAGUGCUAGGUGUUGGGCAGCAAUGCUCAGUGCCGAAGUAAACACAAUAAGCACUCCGCCUGGGGAGUACGUACGCAAGUAUGAAACUCAAAUGAAUUGACGGGG